GCUGACGAGUGGCGGACGGGUGAGUAAUGUCUGGGAAACUGCCUGAUGGAGGGGGAUAACUACUGGAAACGGUAGCUAAUACCGCAUAACGUCGCAAGACCAAAGAGGGGGACCUUCGGGCCUCUUGCCAUCGGAUGUGCCCAGAUGGGAUUAGCUAGUAGGUGGGGUAACGGCUCACCUAGGCGACGAUCCCUAGCUGGUCUGAGAGGAUGACCAGCCACACUGGAACUGAGACACGGUCCAGACUCCUACGGGAGGCAGCAGUGGGGAAUAUUGCACAAUGGGCGCAAGCCUGAUGCAGCCAUGCCGCGUGUAUGAAGAAGGCCUUCGGGUUGUAAAGUACUUUCAGCGGGGAGGAAGGGAGUAAAGUUAAUACCUUUGCUCAUUGACGUUACCCGCAGAAGAAGCACCGGCUAACUCCGUGCCAGCAGCCGCGGUAAUACGGAGGGUGCAAGCGUUAAUCGGAAUUACUGGGCGUAAAGCGCACGCAGGCGGUUUGUUAAGUCAGAUGUGAAAUCCCCGGGCUCAACCUGGGAACUGCAUCUGAUACUGGCAAGCUUGAGUCUCGUAGAGGGGGGUAGAAUUCCAGGUGUAGCGGUGAAAUGCGUAGAGAUCUGGAGGAAUACCGGUGGCGAAGGCGGCCCCCUGGACGAAGACUGACGCUCAGGUGCGAAAGCGUGGGGAGCAAACAGGAUUAGAUACCCUGGUAGUCCACGCCGUAAACGAUGUCGACUUGGAGGUUGUGCCCUUGAGGCGUGGCUUCCGGAGCUAACGCGUUAAGUCGACCGCCUGGGGAGUACGGCCGCAAGGUUAAAACUCAAAUGAAUUGACGGGGGCCCGCACAAGCGGUGGAGCAUGUGGUUUAAUUCGAUGCAACGCGAAGAACCUUACCUGGUCUUGACAUCCACAGAACUUUCCAGAGAUGGAUUGGUGCCUUCGGGAACUGUGAGACAGGUGCUGCAUGGCUGUCGUCAGCUCGUGUUGUGAAAUGUUGGGUUAAGUCCCGCAACGAGCGCAACCCUUAUCCUUUGUUGCCAGCGGUCCGGCCGGGAACUCAAAGGAGACUGCCAGUGAUAAACUGGAGGAAAGGUGGGGAUGACGUCAAGUCAUCAUGGCC
Molecule: ribosomal RNA, 1117 nt
Filed under: Escherichia sp. ESBL53bB15_13_1E
Lineage: Bacteria; Pseudomonadati; Pseudomonadota; Gammaproteobacteria; Enterobacterales; Enterobacteriaceae
Description: bacterial SSU rRNA
Rfam family: Bacterial small subunit ribosomal RNA
Source: RNAcentral